UACGUAGGGUGCGAGCGUUGUCCGGAAUUAUUGGGCGUAAAGAGCUCGUAGGCGGUUUGUCGCGUCGGAUGUGAAAGCCCGGGGCUUAACUCCGGGUCUGCAUUCGAUACGGGCAGGCUAGAGUUCGGUAGGGGAGAUCGGAAUUCCUGGUGUAGCGGUGAAAUGCGCAGAUAUCAGGAGGAACACCGGUGGCGAAGGCGGGUCUCUGGGCCGAUACUGACGCUGAGGAGCGGAAAGCGUGGGGAGCAAACAGG
Molecule: ribosomal RNA, 254 nt
Filed under: uncultured bacterium
Lineage: Bacteria
Description: partial 16S ribosomal RNA
Rfam family: Bacterial small subunit ribosomal RNA
Source: RNAcentral